GCCGGCUUGGCGAAAUUGGCAUACGCGGCAGCCUUAGGAGCUGUUGAUCUUGGAUCGUGGGGGUUCGAGUCCCCCAGCCGGCA
This 83-nucleotide transfer RNA is filed under the name Catenulispora sp. Its description in RNAcentral is "tRNA-Leu". It matches the Rfam family "tRNA". From Rfam's summary of the family: Transfer RNA (tRNA) molecules are approximately 80 nucleotides in length. Their secondary structure includes four short double-helical elements and three loops (D, anti-codon, and T loops). Further hydrogen bonds mediate the characteristic L-shaped molecular structure. tRNAs have two regions of fundamental functional importance: the anti-codon, which is responsible for specific mRNA codon recognition, and the 3' end, to which the tRNAs corresponding amino acid is attached (by aminoacyl-tRNA synthetases). tRNAs cope with the degeneracy of the genetic code in two manners: having more than one tRNA (with a specific anti-codon) for a particular amino acid; and 'wobble' base-pairing, i.e. permitting non-standard base-pairing at the 3rd anti-codon position. Lineage: Bacteria; Bacillati; Actinomycetota; Actinomycetes; Catenulisporales; Catenulisporaceae. The record is from RNAcentral.